AUCAAUGAUUCACACUGUAAAUUAUCUUUUUACAAAAGACUGACAAUCUUCUCUGUUCAGAUGGUUCACCAGCUGAAAAUUGAUAUGCAAGUUAUAGCUUUUGUACAAAGAUAAUUUACAGUGUGAAUCAUUGAUUCCUUUUAAGUUGAAGAUUCAAUCCAUCAAUGAAGCUGGGUAAUGUGUUAAAAACUCAAAAUGUGUUAAAAACUCAAAUCUCACCAUUCUGAUACAAUGUAGGCUACAUCCCAAGAAUGUCAAAACUGCACUGCUAGUAAUCGGUGUUCCGCCGAAAGAAGUAACUGUACUUAGCAAUACUCCACCCAUGGAAACAUUAAAUAACCCAAAUAGUUGAGUAUGGUAGGUGAGAUAACUA
This 373-nucleotide unclassified non-coding RNA is filed under the name Hevea brasiliensis (rubber tree). Lineage: Eukaryota; Viridiplantae; Streptophyta; Magnoliopsida; Malpighiales; Euphorbiaceae. The record is from RNAcentral.